GAUGAACGCUAGCUACAUGCCUAACACAUGCAAGUCGAGCGGCAGCAUGAACUUAUUUUGCCUAGUAUGAUAGCGACCGGCGCAUGGGUGAGUAAUACGUAACCAACCUGUCGGUCACUCAUGGCUAGCCUUACGAAAGAAUGAUUACUACUAGUAGUCCUAGCUCUUCCGUUCGGUAGAACUAUUAAAGAUUUUCGUCCAUCGUAGGGGAUGCGUUCCAUUAGGUUGUUGGUGGGGUAACGGCCCACCAAGCCUUCGAUGGAUAGGGGUUCUGAGAGGAAGGUACCCGACAUUGGAACUGAGACACGGUCCAAACUCCUACGGGAGGCAGCAGUGAGGAAUAUUGAUCAAUGGACGAGAGUCUGAACCAGCCAAGUAGCGUGAAGGAUGACUGCCCUAUGGGUUGUAAACUUCUUUUAUACGGGAAUAAAGUGAGGCACGUGUGCCUUUUUGUAUGUACCGUAUGAAUAAGGAACGGCUAACUCCGUG
RNAcentral lists this ribosomal RNA (489 nucleotides) under uncultured bacterium. Its description in RNAcentral is "partial 16S ribosomal RNA". It matches the Rfam family "Bacterial small subunit ribosomal RNA", at positions 28 to 507 of the family's 1533-position model. The record is from RNAcentral.